RNAcentral lists this long non-coding RNA (520 nucleotides) under Dromaius novaehollandiae (emu). RNAcentral's name for it is "lncRNA (ENSDNVG00000001542.1)". Lineage: Eukaryota; Metazoa; Chordata; Aves; Casuariiformes; Dromaiidae. The record is from RNAcentral.
CAUAGAAAGCUGUGCAUCAGUGGUCCCUCUGGCUGUCCUCCAAACAUCUACAGAAGCCAGUUCAAGAUAUUUGAAAGCUGAAUUAUAUGUGGGAGAGCGAUGCAGAGGAAGAGCUGAUGAUGUGAGAAAUGCAAGAUACGAGUACUGGAAAUGAUGGUUCCAGUAGAUGAGACCCACUCAGAUAAUAAAAAUGAUACUAUCUCUGCAAGAACCAGUAAAAUGGCCUGGACCCACUGAGGAAGUGAAUUGGCAGAGGCAUCUCCUGCCUUGUGUGACACGGAAUUCUCUUUGGUGAAAAAACCAAAAUUCUUGCAAAUUCCAGGUUGGUUGAGUUUCAAGAAGCUGUUGUCUGACAGAAAGGCUCUAAAUAACAGAAGCGGAAAACAGGACUCCACAGGAUCUGAUUCAGUGUGCAGUAAAGCUGGUUAGAGAAGAGCCACUGACCUGGUUAGGUAUGUAGAUACUAUGAUCUACAUGCACAGCUGACUCCUAGUAGUGAUUUAUAAAUAGAGGUUUAGAA